AAAUGAAUUGACGGGGGCCCGCACAAGCGGUGGAGCAUGUGGUUUAAUUCGACGCAACGCGCAGAACCUUACCAGGGUUUGACAUCCUGUGCUCGGCCUGGAAACAGGCUUUCCCCGCAAGGGGCGCAGAGACAGGUGCUGCAUGGCUGUCGUCAGCUCGUGUCGUGAGAUGUUGGGUUAAGUCCCGCAACGAGCGCAACCCUCGCCUUUAGUUGCCAUCAUUCAGUUGGGCACUCUAGAGGGACCGCCGGCGACAAGCCGGAGGAAGGUGGGGAUGACGUCAAGUCCUCAUGGCCCUUACACCCUGGGCUACACACGUGCUACAAUGGCGGUGACAAUGGGCAGCUACUUCGCGAGAAGCGGCUAAUCCCAAAAAACCGUCCCAGUUCAGAUUGCACUCUGCAACUCGAGUGCAUGAAGGUGGAAUCGCUAGUAAUCGCAGAACAGCAGGCUGCGGUGAAUACGUUCCCGGGCCUUGUACACACCGCCCGU
Molecule: ribosomal RNA, 492 nt
Filed under: uncultured bacterium
Lineage: Bacteria
Description: bacterial SSU rRNA
Rfam family: Bacterial small subunit ribosomal RNA
Source: RNAcentral